GCCCCGGCUACCAGGCAAGCAGACGACUGUAGCAGACAACAAAUCAACAAUGGUGGUGCAUGAAAUAUGAAAAACUUGAAAAAAAGGUUUCUGGGGUUUGUAGCAAUGUAGCUACUUUGCUUGCUACAAAUGGCGCUCCGUAGUCCGUAGUGAAUAUCGAAAGAUAUUCACACAUAUUAGCAUUAUAACAUAUUUAAUUUCAGAGUUCAAAUAACCUUUUUGAUAUCUGAUGAACAAAAUUUCUCAACAAGAAACUGAUAUCGAAAAUCAAAGACUCGUGUCCGCCGUCUCCAAUAGAUUCCCAUCCCAUGACUUGCUUUUCCUAAUACAGGGCUGAGAUUUGAUGAGUUUCAAUGUUUUUAACUAUGACCUGUUGCAAAGUCCAUGCAAGUUCUUGGUUUGAUUUCCUUUCAAAAUCUGGUAACAUUUACUGAAAGACCACUUUGACUGUGGCACUGGUUUGAAUAUUUUGUGAUUGUAUGUAUAUUUUAAAUAUUGUGUAUGCUGUGAUAGCUGAUAGGUUUAUCAAGUACCCUUAUUUCGACAGUCGUAUAGUAGGCCUAUGCAAUUCUGUUUGCGCCACUAACUUGUACCGCUAGGUUUAAUAUCCGAUUAUGAUUUUUAACAUUCAAUGUUUUUUCUGUGUUUCAAAUUCUUAGCACAUGGAAGAUUCCCGCGAAUGAGACUCUUUGGCCUCUUCUACGAUUUGGCCAUUCGCGGUAGGUGACAACCUCAGAUGAAUUAUACAGCAGGUUUCUUGUACAGUACCUGCAGAUUGAAAAGACCAACACCACAGUGGACUACCAUCACCGGUAUAUCAACUGGACGUUUUCCCUCCUGUUUCCUAGAUCUCGCGAAAGUUUGUCGGCUAUACUUACAAGGUAUCGUUUCGAAGCAUUAUUCCGUUUCAUUAAUUGAAUAAUUUGAGUGACGUGAACAUUCGCCCAAGUUGUCUUUUGUUUCUAUAUUACAUAAUUAAAAACGUUUUUUUUUUUUCAAAAAAGCCGACUGUCCUUCAAACGAGUCAAAUGACUCAAAUGUCAAAUGUUAUAAAAUGAGUUUUAAGCCAUAAACAUUUGGUAUUCAUUAUGAUAUUGGUAGUUGUAGCCCCAUCCCCUGCAACGUCAAUCUGCAGGAGGAAAGCCCAGUUUGCAUGCCACUUCACUUUCGAAGGUCACCGAGAUCAUUACGUAAAACGUGUCAUGCAAUGGUGUAGAGGUUGGGUGAGAACGAUAUGUGUUACAAAACUAUUUGGUAUUCAUUUUUUUUUUAAUUUGUUUUUGUGGACCCAUCCCACAGCAACAUCAACCUGCGGAAAGAAAGGCCAGUUUUCUUGUCCUUCGCGCUCGAAGGUCACGGAGAUCAUUAAGUAAAACGUUUCAUGCAGUGGUGUAGAGGUUGGGUGCGAACGGGCGUUUUGCAUCAUUAUCAAGCAGGUACAAAAGCCGCAAGGCUUAGGAGGUGAAGGUUGAAAAAAAAAAUCGUAUAAAAGGAGAGAGAAAAGGUGAAAGAGAAUCAGUCGAGUGAGCAUCUACGACACGGCAACAACUGCAGCGCAACAUCUAUCAAUAACUGCCCUCUUCAUUCUAUCCGUUCAUCGUAUCAUCAGUUCGCAAUCAUGGGAAUAUGUAUUCUGCUACUCUUCUAUAAUUAUGGCGUUGUGCUGCUGUUGGGUGUUUAUCUGUGACGGGUUGGUCGACCACUGGUGUACCGAUGUCUCCUUAAUGUGGCGCAAACCAAACCGCAACUCGUCGCCUUACUUCACGACAACAACAUACGCAACAGCCGUUUACUACCACCAAGGCACCGGAGUACUACACCACCAAGGCACCGGAGUAAUACACCACCAAAGCACCGGAGUACUACUCCGUUCCCAUCUACUACACCGAUGCUCCAGCUUAUUACGCCACCAAGGGCAAAUGCUACACCGAGUCGCUCAAGUACUACUCUGCCCAGAUUUACUACACAGCUGCUGCUCCUUCGUGCUACGUUGGACCGAAAUACUA
This is a long non-coding RNA of Daphnia pulicaria, 2006 nucleotides long. RefSeq lists it as uncharacterized. The transcript is spliced from 4 exons. The record is from RefSeq and is a predicted model, not a curated record. Lineage: Eukaryota; Metazoa; Arthropoda; Branchiopoda; Diplostraca; Daphniidae.